UACGAAGGGGGCUAGCGUUGUUCGGAAUUACUGGGCGUAAAGCGCACGUAGGCGGAUAUUUAAGUCAGGGGUGAAAUCCCGGGGCUCAACCCCGGAACUGCCUUUGAUACUGGGUAUCUCGAGUCCGAGAGAGGUGAGUGGAAUUCCGAGUGUAGAGGUGAAAUUCGUAGAUAUUCGGAGGAACACCAGUGGCGAAGGCGGCUCACUGGAUCGGUACUGACGCUGAGGUGCGAAAGCGUGGGGAGCAAACAGG
This 253-nucleotide ribosomal RNA is filed under the name uncultured bacterium. RNAcentral's name for it is "partial 16S ribosomal RNA". It matches the Rfam family "Bacterial small subunit ribosomal RNA", at positions 524 to 776 of the family's 1533-position model. The record is from RNAcentral.